This 254-nucleotide ribosomal RNA is filed under the name uncultured bacterium. RNAcentral describes it as "partial 16S ribosomal RNA". It matches the Rfam family "Bacterial small subunit ribosomal RNA", at positions 524 to 776 of the family's 1533-position model. The record is from RNAcentral.
UACAGAGGUCCCGAGCGUUGUUCGGAUUCACUGGGCGUAAAGGGUGCGUAGGUGGCGAGGAAAGUCGGAUGUGAAAGCUCGGAGCUCAACUCCCGAAAUGGCAUUGGAAACUACCUUGCUCGAGGGUUGGAGGGGGGACUGGAAUUCUCGGUGUAGCAGUGAAAUGCGUAGAUAUCGAGAGGAACACCAGUGGCGAAGGCGAGUCCCUGGACAACUCCUGACACUGAGGCACGAAAGCUAGGGGAGCAAACAGG